UGAAGCCUACUUGUUUGCUCAACUGGUUGACUUCAAGGAUAAUAAUCCAGACAAAGUUCCAGAAGAUAUCGAUUAUGCUCGGAUGUAUAAAGAUGUUAGAGCUGCAGUAGAUUUGUGUCACCGUGAUGGAACCUUGAAGCAAAUGGUUGCAAAAGAUCCCGAAAGAUACAUCAAUGUAGAUACGUCAAUUUUGCCUAUGCUUAAAAUGCUCAGAGAUUCUGGCCGUUCUACUUUCUUGGUGACAAACAGCUUAUGGG
This 257-nucleotide unclassified non-coding RNA is filed under the name Hevea brasiliensis (rubber tree). The record is from RNAcentral. Lineage: Eukaryota; Viridiplantae; Streptophyta; Magnoliopsida; Malpighiales; Euphorbiaceae.